This 497-nucleotide ribosomal RNA is filed under the name uncultured bacterium. RNAcentral describes it as "partial 16S ribosomal RNA". It matches the Rfam family "Bacterial small subunit ribosomal RNA", at positions 28 to 507 of the family's 1533-position model. The record is from RNAcentral.
GAUGAACGCUGGCGGCGUGCCUAAUACAUGCAAGUCGAGCGAACAGACGAGGAGCUUGCUCCUUUGACGUUAGCGGCGGACGGGUGAGUAACACGUGGAUAACCUACCUAUAAGACUGGGAUAACUUCGGGAAACCGGAGCUAAUACCGGAUAAUAUAUUGAACCGCAUGGUUCAAUAGUGAAAGACGGUUUUGCUGUCACUUAUAGAUGGAUCCGCGCCGCAUUAGCUAGUUGGUAAGGUAACGGCUUACCAAGGCGACGAUGCGUAGCCGACCGAAGAGGGUGAUCGGCCACACUGGAACUGAGACACGGUCCAGACUCCUACGGGAGGCAGCAGUAGGGAAUCUUCCGCAAUGGGCGAAAGCCUGACGGAGCAACGCCGCGUGAGUGAUGAAGGUCUUCGGAUCGUAAAGCUCUGUUAUUAGGGAAGAACAAAUGUGUAAGUAACUAUGCACGUAUUGACGGUACCUGAUCAGAAAGCCACGGCUAACUACGUG